GCUGGCGGCGUGCCUAACACAUGCAAGUCGAACGGGACCGGGGGCAACUUCGGUUCAGUGGCGGACGGGUGCGUAACACGUGAGGAACAUGACCUUCGGCGGGGGAUAGCCGGCCCAACGGCCGGGUAAUACCGCGUACGACCAUUCGGGGACAUCCCUGAUUGGUGAAAGCAGCAAUGCGCCGAUGGAGUGCCUCGCGGCCUAUCAGCUAGUUGGUGGGGUAACGGCCUACCAAGGCAACGACGGGUAGCUGGUCUGAGAGGAUGGCCAGCCACAUUGGGACUGAGACACGGCCCAGACUCCUACGGGAGGCAGCAGUGGGGAAUAUUGCGCAAUGGACGAAAGUCUGACGCAGCGACGCCGCGUGUGGGAUGAAGGUCUUCGGAUUGUAAACCACUGUCGGGAGGGACGAAUACGCCGCAAGGCGGGUGACGGUACCUCCAAAGGAAGCACCGGCUAACUCCGUGCCAGCAGCCGCGGUAAUACGGAGGGUGCGAGCGUUGUCCGGAAUCACUGGGCGUAAAGGGCGCGUAGGCGGCCUGAUAAGUAGGGGGUGAAAUCCUGCGGCUUAACCGCAGGGCUGCCUUCUAAACUGUCAGGCUUGAGCACAGUAGAGGCAGGUGGAAUUCC
RNAcentral lists this ribosomal RNA (630 nucleotides) under uncultured soil bacterium. RNAcentral describes it as "bacterial SSU rRNA". It matches the Rfam family "Bacterial small subunit ribosomal RNA", at positions 35 to 670 of the family's 1533-position model. The record is from RNAcentral.